UGGGGAAUAUUGCACAAUGGAGGGAACUCUGAUGCAGCGACGCCGCGUGAACGAAGAAGGCUUUCGAGUCGUAAAGUUCUUUUAUAUGGGAAGAUAAUGACGGUACCAUAAGAAAAAGCCCCGGCUAACUACGUGCCAGCAGCCGCGGUAAUACGUAGGGGGCUAGCGUUGUCCGGAAUCACUGGGCGUAAAGGGUUCGCAGGCGGAAAUGCAAGUCAGGUGUAAAAGGCAGUAGCUUAACUACUGUAAGCAUUUGAAACUGCAUAUCUUGAGAAGAGUAGAGGUAAGUGGAAUUUUUAGUGUAGCGGUGAAAUGCGUAGAUAUUAAAAAGAAUACCGGUGGCGAAGGUGGCUUACUGGGCUCAUUCUGACGCUGAGGAACGAAAGCGUGGGUAGCAAACAGG
RNAcentral lists this ribosomal RNA (403 nucleotides) under bacterium. Its description in RNAcentral is "partial 16S ribosomal RNA". It matches the Rfam family "Bacterial small subunit ribosomal RNA", at positions 355 to 776 of the family's 1533-position model. The record is from RNAcentral.